UUAGUGCUGCAGCUAACGCAUUAAGCACUCCGCCUGGGGAGUACGACCGCAAGGUUGAAACUCAAAGGAAUUGACGGGGGCCCGCACAAGCGGUGGAGCAUGUGGUUUAAUUCGAAGCAACGCGAAGAACCUUACCAGGUCUUGACAUCCUUUGACCACUCUGGAGACAGAGCUUUCCCUUCGGGGACAAAGUGACAGGUGGUGCAUGGUUGUCGUCAGCUCGUGUCGUGAGAUGUUGGGUUAAGUCCCGCAACGAGCGCAACCCUUGAUUUUAGUUGCCAGCAUUUAGUUGGGCACUCUAAAGUGACUGCCGGUGCAAGCCGGAGGAAGGUGGGGAUGACGUCAAAUCAUCAUGCCCCUUAUGACCUGGGCUACACACGUGCUACAAUGGAUAGUACAAAGGGUCGCGAAGCCGCGAGGUGGAGCUAAUCCCAUAAAACUAUUCUCAGUUCGGAUUGUAGGCUGCAACUCGCCUACAUGAAGCCGGAAUCGCUAGUAAUCGUGGAUCAGCAUGCCACGGUGAAUACGUUCCCGGGCCUUGUACACACCGCCCGUCACACCACGAGAGUUUGUAACACCCGAAGUCGGUAGGGUAACCUUUAUGGAGCCAGCCGCCGAAGGUGGGACAGAUAAUUGGGGUGAAGUCGUAACAAGGUAGCCGUAUCGGAAGGUGCGGCUGGAUCACCUCCUUUCUAAGGAA
This 700-nucleotide ribosomal RNA is filed under the name Listeria monocytogenes. Its description in RNAcentral is "bacterial SSU rRNA". It matches the Rfam family "Bacterial small subunit ribosomal RNA", at positions 840 to 1533 of the family's 1533-position model. Lineage: Bacteria; Bacillati; Bacillota; Bacilli; Caryophanales; Listeriaceae. The record is from RNAcentral.